Molecule: unclassified non-coding RNA, 221 nt
Filed under: uncultured Tomentella
Lineage: Eukaryota; Fungi; Basidiomycota; Agaricomycetes; Thelephorales; Thelephoraceae
Description: sequence contains ITS2
Source: RNAcentral
ACACCUCAACUCCUCAUGGUUUGCCAUGAUGAGCUUGGACCUUUGGGGGUAUUGCUGGCCCUGUGGUUGGCUCCUCUCAAAUGGAUCAGCUUGCCAGUGUUUGGUGGCAUCACGGGUGUGAUAAAUAUCUACGCUUGUGGUUUUCCACCAUUGUAACCUUCAGCGAUGAAGGUGCACUGGAGCUCACAAAUGUCCCUCCUCAGCGAGGACAGCUUUUGAAC